CAUGUAAAUCUUCCCAGCUGAGGCCUCAUCAUUGAGGUGCAGAAAAGGGGCAUGCCCAUUGUGCCUGUUUCUAAAUUCCUGACCCACAGAACCUGUGAGCAUAAUACAAGUUUACUAUUUUAUACCAGUAAUCAGCAAUACAACUGGGAUUUGAUAUCAGAUUCAUGCGAUUCCGAAGACCCUGACCACCAAAUGCAAAAGGAGAGUGGGGUGCUGGUGAAAACAUAUCCAAAAAUGUGGAAGCGACGUUGGAACUGGGUAACAGGCAGAGGUUGGAACAGUUUGGAGGACUCAGAAGAAGACAGGAAAAUGUGGCCAAGUUUGGAACUUCCUAGAGACUUGCUGAAUGGCUUUGAACAAAAUGCUGACAGUGAUAUGGACGAUGAAAUCCAGGCUAGGUGGUCUCAGCUGGUGAUAAGGAACUUGUUGGGAACCGGAGUAAAGGUGAGUCUUGCAAACACACUGGUGGCAUUUUGCCCGGCCCUAUAGAUUUGUAGAACUUUGAACUUGAGAGACAUGAUUUAGGGUAUCUGGCAGAAGAAAUUUCUAAGCAGGAAAGCACUUACGAUGUGACUUCGGUGCUGUUGAAAGCAUUCAGUUUUAUAAGGCAAGCAGAGCAUAAAAAUU
This 627-nucleotide long non-coding RNA is filed under the name Homo sapiens (human). RNAcentral describes it as "long non-coding RNA NONHSAT199090.1". Lineage: Eukaryota; Metazoa; Chordata; Mammalia; Primates; Hominidae. The record is from RNAcentral.